UACGUAGGCAGCGAGCGUUGUUCGGAGUUACUGGGCGUAAAGGGUGUGUAGGCGGUUGUUUAAGUUUGGUGUGAAAUCUCCCGGCUCAACCGGGAGGGUGCGCCGAAUACUGAAUGACUUGGAGUGCGGGAGAGGAAAGUGGAAUUCCCGGUGUAGUGGUGAAAUGCGUAGAUAUCGGGAGGAACACCAGUGGCGAAGGCGACUACCUGGCCUGUUCUUGACGCUGAGGCGCGAAAGCUAGGGGAGCAAACGGG
This 254-nucleotide ribosomal RNA is filed under the name uncultured bacterium. RNAcentral's name for it is "partial 16S ribosomal RNA". It matches the Rfam family "Bacterial small subunit ribosomal RNA", at positions 524 to 776 of the family's 1533-position model. The record is from RNAcentral.